Molecule: long non-coding RNA, 4726 nt
Filed under: Sus scrofa (pig)
Lineage: Eukaryota; Metazoa; Chordata; Mammalia; Artiodactyla; Suidae
Description: lncRNA (ENSSSCG00000056347.1)
Source: RNAcentral
GGUAAUGGUUAUGCUUCUUAAUAAUAAUAAUAAUAGCAAAAACAAACCCCACUUCAUUAAGCUUCUUUCUGUACAAACUCUGGUUUGCUUUUUUCUCAUUGAGAAAGACUAAUUGUAUAUCUAGACCCCCAAUUAACCCCUAAUGCUUCAUACUACAUUUGCCUGAAGCAGCUUCUCAAACUGAAGAUUCAGAGUCACCUGCAGCAUUGUCAAAAUAUGGGUACCUAGAUGUGGGUCUCACUUCUUCUGAUUCAAUAGGUCUGCUAUGGACCCUAAUAUUUUUUCUUUCUAACAAAUUCCCAGCUGCUGCUGCUGCUGAUGGUCCUGACCACACUUUGAAAAUGCUUGAACUAGUAUAAACGUUGUCCAGCUUGAGCUUGUGUGGCGGGAGGGAUCGCUGUGGUGUUUGCUGUGGUAUCCUGAAUUCUAUUAUCAUGAAAAAGUUACUAAAACCAAGUCUGAGGACCUGGGUUUUAAUCUUACUGAGGAUGACCUUGGGCACGUGGCCGAAUCCCAGUUUCUCCCAUCUGCAAAAUGGGAUAAGGCCCCACUCAGCCCACACCUCUGGACUGCAGAAAGCAUGGUGCAAGGAAAUGGUUGUAAAGUCCUCUCAGAUAAUAAGAGUUGCAGUCAGCAUGAGAAUGUGUGUCACACUUGACACAGAAGCCAGGGGCUCCUCAGGCCUCAGAAAGCCAAGGACUAGGUUUGAGAGAGCACUGAAUCCUAAUCACUAGACUACCAGGGAGGGGACUGGGUUUGGCAUGAGGAAGGCAGCCAUGAUGAUACAUCCUGCCCUCAGAAUUUCCCAGGUGCCCACAGGGUGGUGAGACCUGAUAGUUUCUUGCCUGGCUGUUAGUGCUUUAGCACCAAGCCUCAAUUUGCACCACUGCUGCCACAUUCUUCACCCUCCUUGAGAAUGCCUGGGUCUUGGAAGAGAGGAAAUGGAGAUGACUGGAAAAAUGGAAGGAAAAGAUGUUAUAUUUGUGACAAUUUUUUUAAUUUGCAAUUUUUAAUUUUUGACAUGAUUUCAGACUUAGAGAAAAGUUGCAAGAAUAGUACAAAGAAUACUCAAGUAUCUUCACCCAGAUUCCCCAAGUGUUAGCAUUUUCCUACAUUUGGUUUGCUCAUUUAUUUCUCUCCUUCACACACCAUACAACACACAGUGUAUAUAUAAGUGUACAAAAUAUAUACACAUUUUGAGACUAUUUAAAACUCUUCAAUAUAAAGUUUACUCUUUUACCCUUUGUAGUUAAUAAGUAUUUUUUUGAGAGAUACUUUGAGACUAUGGAAAUAUCCUGUUACCUUUAAAUUUUCACCCAUUAGUUUUUACCUGUUCACCAUUGGUGAUUUUUGCCUGACUCCAUAUUUAUAAUGGUUGCCAAAUUAUAAUUUUCUAAUUUCACCAUUCUUUAUACAUUUAUUAGUUGGCAGUCUACCAUAAAGAUGAGCUUUUUUAAAAUAUAUUUAUUUAUUUGCUUUUUAGGGCCUCAUCUGAGACACCUGAAAGUUCCCAGGCUAGGGGUCAAAUCAAAGCUAUAGCUGCCAGCCACAGCCACAGCCACAGCAACGCCAGAUCCGAGAUGAGUCUACAACCUACACCAUAACUUACAGCAACGCCGGAUCCUUAACCCCUGCAUGAGGCAGGGAUCGAACCUGCCGCCUCAUGGAUGCUAGUUGGGUUCUCAACCCACUGAGCUGCUACAGGAACUCCAGGCCUUCUCUUCUUAUUUAUUCCUUGUUUGUUUACCUCAUUGUGAACGGAUGGACUUUUUAUCCAGUAGGUUUACUCUUUAUCAUUAUUUCGAUGCUCAGAUUAUCCCAGAUUUGGCCAGCGGGAGCCUCUAAAUGCUGGUUCCUGCCUCCUUUUGAAUUGGUCCCUCCCUAAUCUGAGCACUUCAUUCCUUUAUGGCAUGAGAUGUUCCAGGUUCCCCUUCUACUUUACAUGCCCCAGCCACGUAUGGAAUCCACCAUUUUCCAAGGAGCUCUGGGUCUUUUCAGUGGAAAGUGUUACUUUGAAACCAUCAUCUGGCCACUAGAUGUGCUCAUUGAGACUGGAUUGACAUUUGUGUUAUGGACAAAUGUCCAUAAUGUUUGUUUAGCCCCCAAAUUGGUAAGUGGAAGCCCUAGCCCCGGUGUGACUGGAUUUGGAGAUAGGGCCUUUAAAGAGGAAUCAGAUCUAGAUGGGGGUAAUGCCUUUAAAAUAGACACCAGAGAACUUGAUCUACCCCUCUGUUACCAUGUGAGGACGCAGUAAGAAGUGGCUAUCUGCAGGCCAGGAAGAGAGUUCUCACCAGAAGCCCCCCAUGCUAGCUAGCACUCUGAUCUUGGACUUGUGGCCUCCAAGGCUGUAGAUAUAAAUUUCACAGUUGCUUAAGCCACCCAGUCUAUAGUGUUUUGUUAUAGCAGCCUGAGAUGUAAUAUGUUUCUGUUUAGUGCACUUAUUUAUGAAUGUUUCCUCCCUGCCACCCCAGCAAGAUCUGAACUUCUCCCCUUUACAAUGUAAUGUGCUCAAUCAUCUGUACCUUAAAUAUUAGGUAGUGCGCUUAAUAGAAAGAAUUUGGAUAUGGAGUGGGACAAUGUGUGUUCAUUCCAUUUAUCAAAUAAAUGAGGACCCUCAGGCAGGUUAACCUCGCUGACCUCAGAUUUCUCAUCUUUUAAAUGGAUAGUCAUUAUGAAAUGUAAGAUAACAGGUAGGAGUUCCCAUGAUGGCUCAGUGGAAAUGAAUCUGACUAGCAUCCAUGAGGAUGAAGGUUCCAUCCCUGGCCUUGCUCAGUGGGUUAAGGAUCCGGCAUUGCCGUGAGCUGUGGUGUAGGUGCAGGUGUGGCUCAGAUCCCGUGUUGCUGUGGCCGUGGUAUAGGCUGGCAGCUAUACCGCCGACGGUUCCCUAGCCUGGGAACUCCAUAUACUGUGGGUGCAGCCCUAAAAAGCAAAAAACAAAACAAAACAAAAAAAAACUAACAGGUGUAAAGUGCCUGGUACAUGGUAAACAAUCAAUAGAACACUAGUUUCCCCUUUCUUCUCAUUCACACAUGGAUAUAUAUCUUUUUCCUUAGUGUGACUUCCUGCCUGACUUCUGCUUCUCUCAGAGCCCAGAAUACAACUGUAUUCAAUGUUUAGACUUUUUCCUCCACUGAAUGAAAGAAAUGCUGCUCUGAUUCAAGAUGGAGAUUCUGCUGCUCUAUUGUUAACUCUAUCACAUCUUGCUUCCUUAAAAGUCAUAUAAUUAUAAAGCAUUUCCAAAGAGGUCCUUCAACAAUGCCUCUUGAACAAAUGAUAUUUAACAUCUCUAUUAGUUACCUAUUGCUGCUUUACCCCUAAACUUAGCAGCGUAAAACAAUAGGCAUUAACUAUGUCAUAGUUUCUCUGGGUCAGGAAUCUAGGAACAGCCCAACUGGGUGCCUCUGACUCAAGCUCCCGCAUGAAGUUGUAGUCAAGGCCAAGGCUGCAGUCUCAUCUGAAGGCUUAACGGUGUGAAUCCACUGCCAAACUUACUCAUGUGGUUGUUGGCAGGAUUCAGUUCCUGGAGGGUUAUUGGACUGAGGGCCUUAGUUCCUCACUCUGUGGAGACCCACUCUGUUCCCAGCAGUAUGAACCUCUCCAUAAGGUAGCUCACAGCAUGCCAGAUGGCUUCCCUCAGAGCACCCUACUCAGAAAUCACAGUCUAUUCUUGGAAGUGACAUCCUGUCACCUCUGCUGUAUCCCAUUUGCUAGAUGUAAGUCGCUAAAAGCAAGCCCACACUCAAAGGAAGGGAUCACACAAAGAUAUGAAGACCAGCAGGUAGGGAUCAUGAGGGGUCAUCUUAGAGGGUAUGUACUACAACCUUUAUAAUGAACCAGGAAAAGGUUCCAUGAUUAAGAUAUUUGCAAUAAAGUGACAAAUUAAAAGAGAACCUUUAAAUAUAAGUGCUGUCUCUCACAUACAGAUAGCAAGCUCUUCACACACACACACACACACACACACAAGAGAUGUCAGCAAAACUCAAGCUUCUGAACAGGAAGGGCUAUCUUAGAGUGUACAUCUCAGAACUCAGUGGAAUAAAGAUGAGGAGCUACUUGAUCCAUCUUACACUGUCAUCACCUGCAUUGUCAACCUCGUUAACAUCAUCAUUGCCAUUUAAUUACUGCUCACUGAAUGCCAGUGUGCCAAGAACUUUUCACAUGUGAUAUGAUUGUGAUUUUUUUCAGAAGACAGAGAUAAUGGCAUUAAUAUUUUGAGAUACAUAACCCAACAUAUUUUCAUUUUCCGUAACCCUCAGUUCCCAGUUGUCCUGCAGCACCCUCCGUGCAUGCAUGACUCAGUGGCAGGCAUGUUUCUACUCUAUGGUGGUUCACCAAAAUUGCCUGCAAAUAUAUCUUUUUUUUCUUUCUCAAUCUUUCCCUCCCUUGCCCCCUACCCCUCCACAAUCUCUCUUCUGGAAGCUCCCAUUCUCAAGCAGAUGCAGUAGCAGGAAGCUAGAACAGAUAAAUUGGACAUUCCUUCAAAUGUGGUUAUGGUUGCCAAGGGGGAGGGGGAGGGAUUGGAAUGGACUAGGAGUCUGGGGUUAGGAGAUGCAAACUGUUCCUUUUAGAAUGGGUAAGCAAUAAGAUCCUACUGUAUAGCACAGGGAACUAUAUCCAGUCUCUUGUGAUAGAACAUGAUGGAAGAUAAUAUGAGAAAAAGAAUAUAUAUAUGUAUGACUGGUCACUUUGAUGUACAAUAGAAAUUGACACAACAUUGUAAAUCAAC